UUGCAUGGCUUUGUCAGCUCGUUCGUAGAAUGUUGGGUUAAGGUCCCGCAACGAGCGCAACCCUCGCCUUUAGUUGCCAUCAUUUAGUUGGGCACUCUAGAGGAACUGCCGGUGACAAGCCGGAGGAAGGUGGGGAUGACGUCAAGUCCUCAUGGCCCUUAUGUCCUGGGCUACACACGUGCUACAAUGGUGGUGACAGUGGGAAGCUAGGCGGUGACGCCGUGCUGAUCUCUAAAAGCCAUCUCAGUUCGGAUUGUACUCUGCAACUCGAGUACAUGAAGGUGGAAUCGCUAGUAAUCGUGGAUCAGCAUGCCACGGUGAAUACGUUCCCGGGCCUUGUACACACCGCCCAAUCGAAUUCCC
Molecule: ribosomal RNA, 363 nt
Filed under: uncultured bacterium
Lineage: Bacteria
Description: bacterial SSU rRNA
Rfam family: Bacterial small subunit ribosomal RNA
Source: RNAcentral